Molecule: long non-coding RNA, 314 nt
Filed under: Brassica napus (rape)
Lineage: Eukaryota; Viridiplantae; Streptophyta; Magnoliopsida; Brassicales; Brassicaceae
Description: long non-coding RNA (BNAP_LNC006525)
Source: RNAcentral
UAUGACCUCAUCGCAAAGGACGUCGAAGAACUGUUUUUUGUCGGAUUCAUAAAACACUUUCGACCUUUGUUAACCAAGAAAAGGAUCAGUUUUUUCCCGAGCAAACUUAGUUAGCAUUUACUUAGCAAUCUCAAUAUUAGCAAUCUCAAUACUGUGUAAGAGCAACCUCGAUUCAAAUAUCGACCUCACCUCUCAUUUGCAAUCUCCUUGUAGACUUCGAUUUUCUUUUAAUACAAACGAGAUUUCCGACCUACUCUUAUCCCUUCAAAUUUUUAAUCACCUCUUAAUCUUAUACCGAACUCACACUUUUCAAA